Molecule: ribosomal RNA, 676 nt
Filed under: Mesorhizobium sp. D243b
Lineage: Bacteria; Pseudomonadati; Pseudomonadota; Alphaproteobacteria; Hyphomicrobiales; Phyllobacteriaceae
Description: bacterial SSU rRNA
Rfam family: Bacterial small subunit ribosomal RNA
Source: RNAcentral
AACGCUGGCGGCAGGCUUAACACAUGCAAGUCGAGCGCCUCGCAAGAGGAGCGGCAGACGGGUGAGUAACGCGUGGGAAUCUACCCAUCUCUACGGAACAACUCCGGGAAACUGGAGCUAAUACCGUAUACGUCCUUCGGGAGAAAGAUUUAUCGGAGAUGGAUGAGCCCGCGUUGGAUUAGCUAGUUGGUGGGGUAAUGGCCUACCAAGGCGACGAUCCAUAGCUGGUCUGAGAGGAUGAUCAGCCACACUGGGACUGAGACACGGCCCAGACUCCUACGGGAGGCAGCAGUGGGGAAUAUUGGACAAUGGGCGCAAGCCUGAUCCAGCCAUGCCGCGUGAGUGAUGAAGGCCCUAGGGUUGUAAAGCUCUUUCAACGGUGAAGAUAAUGACGGUAACCGUAGAAGAAGCCCCGGCUAACUUNNUGCCAGCAGCCGCGGUAAUACGAAGGGGGCUAGCGUUGUUCGGAAUUACUGGGCGUAAAGCGCACGUAGGCGGAUACUUAAGUCAGGGGUGAAAUCCCGGGGCUCAACCCCGGAACUGCCUUUGAUACUGGGUAUCUCGAGUCCGGAAGAGGNGAGUGGAAUUCCGAGUGUAGAGGUGAAAUUCGUAGAUAUUCGGAGGAACACCAGUGGCGAAGGCGGCUCACUGGUCCGGUACUGACGCUGAGGUGCGA